UCUCUUGAGAGCCAUAUGGAGGGAGGUAUUUCUGACACCCCUACAUAUGCUCCCAGGACAGC
Molecule: microRNA precursor, 62 nt
Filed under: Ptychodera flava
Lineage: Eukaryota; Metazoa; Hemichordata; Enteropneusta; Ptychoderidae
Description: Pfl-Mir-4830-P6_pre stem-loop
Source: RNAcentral